Molecule: long non-coding RNA, 11394 nt
Filed under: Homo sapiens (human)
Lineage: Eukaryota; Metazoa; Chordata; Mammalia; Primates; Hominidae
Description: non-protein coding LINC00898:10
Source: RNAcentral
GUUUGGAUUCUCUCUGCCUGACCCAAGGCAGACAUCCGUUCCCUCUGGCCGUUGGUACUCCUGGUUCUCAGGGAUUCAGACUCUGACUGGCGUCCACUCCAUUGGAUCCCGGCCCUCAGGUCUUGGAACUUGCACUGCCAGCAUUCCUGGGUGUCCGGCUUGCGGACAGCAGAUCGUGGGACUUCUCAGCCUCCAGAAUUGCACGAAGUGUCUCCUUACGAAUCUCUUCCUAUGUACGUGUAUCCUAUUGGCUCUGUUUCUCUGCAGAACCCUGACUAAUGCAAACCCUCUCAUCUCACAGCAGUGCAUGUACAAACCCACUCACAUCUUCCCCUCCCCUGCCUUCCCUACCGCAAGUUCCCUCCGACCAGAGGCCAAUCCCGCUGCGGUGCCCCGGACCCACCCUCUGCACCAGCCUUCCUUCUUGUUUUCUAAAAGCUCGCGUUUUCUGUGGGCUUCCAAGGCUGCUCUUCAGUAUCUUUACGUCAGAGCCUCCCAGCUCCUUCCCCUCUCUCAAAAGCGUUUUCACAGGGACUGUAGGCUCCUUCCCUCCCCUUGAUAACCAAGUACUAUGCCCCAGGUUCUUACCUCACAGCCCAAAGUUGUCCUAAGUCGGGCCCUGACCUGAGUGUCUCCAAAUCCAGCAGGCCGUCUGCUCUCCUGUGACAUGCAGCAUCCCACGGCUUUUCCUAAAAGACCCCCUCUGUCAGCUUUGCUGUCACCCACCCUCCAGGGCUCUCUCUUACAGGUCUGCCCUUUGCUAGCAUCUUAGCCUCUCCACCUCCCGGUGGUCCUGUCUGCGAUGGACCCCCUCCAUGUGUCCCAAGGCCCUCCAAAGGAACAGGUCUGUAUCAGGUGCAAUUAGAUUGAGGUGCAAUGCAAGGGCUUGAAUUGCAGAGAGGUUCAUUUUUCUUUUUGUAGAAAAGUCUGGGACCAGCUGUCAGAGACUGAUUUGGCCACUCCAUGGUCACCAGGACCAGGCUGUGUCCAUCUUUUCUGUUCUGACCUUUUUCACAUGGGCCAUUGUCCAUGUCACCGCUGGUCACCAGCUGCAGCAGUCGCAUUCUUGCUCCGGGCAGCAGGAAGAAGGUGAGACCAGAAGGCAGAGGGGGCUGGUCCUGCCUGGUCAGCCCCCAGGGGGCUUUGCCCAGACACCCCUUCCCCACCCAUGGCUCUGCUGAUUUCUCUAUAGCUGCCACCCUCUGAAAAGGGAGCUGGCAGAGUAGUUCUUAGACAUGGCACCUGGCCACCUCUGUGGCUGAAGAAGAAGGGGGUUGAGGAUUGGGGUACACACCUGUCAGUCUCCAUGCAAUGCCCCAAAGUGGACCACUGACCCCACACCACGCUGUUCUCCUCUGAGUUUUCUCACCUCUGUCCAAAUGGCUGCAGAAGCCAAAAGCCCCAGAGCCCAGCUCCCCUUCCCUCCUUUCUCUUCCAUCCUUCCAUCCUUCCAUGAGCCUGCCCCUCAUCCUCCUCAGGGCUGGAACUGGCUGCCGGAUUCCUCCCUGGCUCCGUGGGGGCUGGCUCAGCAAUCUGAGCUGCCGAUGGCUCUGUGGUCCAGCUGGGAGGAUUCAUGCCCCAUUGGGGCUGAGAGGAAUGAGGUGAGGGCUGUGGGGUUUGCCCAGAAUCUCCUGAAAUAUCGGGCCCAGGAACUACAGCAGGACUCUCAUUCCGCCUUCUGGCCACUGUUGGGGGUGACACUGGCAGGAUCCAGGGGCUCUGGAAAGCUCCAGGGGAAAUUUGAGGCAUAACCCAGCUUCUCUGAGACGGAACUCAGGGAGGAUCCAGCUCAAUCCUACAGAGGCGACCCCAAGGAAGGACCUGCCCAGGGUCACUUGGAGAGCUGGGCGGGAGGAGGGAGAAACCUCCCCCGUUCAGAGUGACAAAGCCCCCCUUGCCUCAGGGAUGGCUGAGAUCCAAGUCCUCAAAACACGCCGCCAUCUGGAGGGUGUGAGAGCGAGGUCCGUCCUCAGCAUGGACGCUGCAGUGCACACUGUUCCGUGCCAGGUGCUGGCUGACCCUGCCCUGUGGGAGGUGAUGGACAGGCACACAGGGGGAGCCCCGCAAACAAGGGGCCCUGUUACAGCAGAGUGGGAGAGCGCCUGGUAGGACGCCAAGCACCGUGGCCGGGCUGCAGAGAGGCCUGCGGGACUUGUAGACAAGACGUCAUGGAGAAGGCGGAGCUCCCAUGGGCCUUGCAGGUUUCACCAAGCAAGAGCGGAGAAGACACAGGCUGGACAAAGGAAGGUGGACGGGACAGCCAGCCGUGCAGCAGCCUCACAGGACACAGCUACCAGACAGAGAGCACCAGCUGACACUCAUUCCUCCAGCACCAGGAAAUGCCACAGCAGAAGAGAGUCUUCAAGAUGGGCCAGACCCACUUCUGCAGCAUGGUUGCUGGGAGCCUGCACAGGCCAGGCAUUUCUCUACAGGUCAGCAGAGCUGCAGCAAGAUCCCAGGUCCUGACCCAAGGCAGUCCUGACCCAUGGUCUAUCCCCACCGGCCCUUCCCUGGAGCUGUGCCUCAGCUGGGGAGGUACUUCUGGAAGGCAGGUGGAGGAGGUAAGCCUCCUUCCCAGCCUGCAAGUCUGUGGUUUAGGUGGCCUAUACUAACUGAUACUCGUACAGGUGCAAUUGAGAACUCACUGAGGCAAAAGGGCCUUUGUCAACCCACAGAAGUGACAAGUCCAAGUGCAGACCAGGCUUCAGGUAUGGCUUGAUGGAGGCACACACGCUGUCUUUCCAGCUUCCAGUGUAGGGUGUCUGGGUGCCCUCUACUGACAAGAUGGUAGCAGGAGCCAGAGACUUUCUGUCCUCUCAGUGACAAGUUCAGAGGGAAAGCCAGGGCCCUGGCCAACAUUUCCGUGUGUCCCCUCUGUGUACCCAGUCCUCACGUCCAUCUCUGUGUGGCUGGAGGAGUGUAAUGUCCAGAGCUGCUCGGGUCUAAAUCACUCAGGCCUCACCUGCCAGGAAAGGUGUUUCCCCAGCUUCAGGGACCAGAAGUGGGGGGAAGGAUGUCCCAGGAAAAUGUAGGUGGAUGUGUCCAGCAAAGAGUAACCAGACACUGGGGCAGCAAGGACCUAGGUUCACCCCAGAAGGCUGGCUUCCACCCAACAAAGACAUCACCAUGGGAGCUAGAGACAGACCGGGAGGAGGUGAGAGGACAGAGCCCAGGGUCCUUGCACGGCCCAGGCGGAAGGGGGCACUGAGUCAACAGAAAGGAAGAAAAAGGGAGUUCAGAGGGGACAGGGCUGUGCCAGCAGACAUGUGUGGGGACCCCAGGCCGGCGAGGGGCUGGCAAGGCAGGAAGGAGGGAGGCCAUGGCCAGUGUAAGCAGGGCCAUUUCACCUCCUGGGAGCUCAGCCUGACCGCCUGUGUGUCCUGCGGAGACUCCAUGGGGAGUGGAGAUCGUGUCAUGAGUCCUUAUUCGGGCACUUCACCCACAAGUCACUCUGAUCACGUCUGUGAGUCCUUAUUUGGGGGCUGCCCCACCGCAGUCGCUCCGACCACGUCUGUGAGUCCUUAUUUGGGGGCUGCCCCACCGCAGUCGCUCCGAUCACGUCUGUGGCUGCUUCUCCCACAGGCUCCCACAGGUUCCUGUGAUUAGGUCAUUUGCCACCGGGAGAGCUUGGGUCCCUCACUGUGCACCCCCACCCCCUUGCCACUGCCUGUGGAGUGCACGGCACAGCACCCCUCGAGGGGCGUGGUGUUGAACUAAUAUGCACUUGAGGGGUCCCUGACCACGGGAGGAGGGAGGGAGGGACGGGCAGGCAGACAUCAACAGCCGCCAGUGGCUCCCAGGCUCUCAUCUGAGACAGGACAGGGAGGUAGGGCGAGCCUGGAAUGAACGCUGGGUGGAAAUGCCCGGGGAACCACAGGGAGCAAGACGUGGACUCCAGGAAGAUGGUGCUCUGGUGGGUGGGAGUAUGGAGGGCAGAGGGCAGGGUGGCCAGGGUGGACCCUCUCCAUCAAGGGUCGCUGCAGGGAGGCAGGGCGAAGACGGGACGGGGAGAUGGUGGGUAUGGAGGGACAAGGGCAGAGAACUGGGCAGCCUAGGGCAGGCUCACCCUCAGACAGGCUGGCAGAAAGGGGUUGCCAGGCUGGCAGAAGAGGGGUCACCAGCAAAGCAGGAGUGGGCAGAGGCAAGAGGCACAGAAGGCAGAGGCCGUUCUGCCGCAGUGCAGCAUCCGAUCAGCGGCUGGUCAGCAGCUGGAGGCUACUCUCCUCUACUCCACAGGUCCAGUUGCUCUUCAGAACUCAAAAUCCCAUCUCUGCAGGUCUCAGCCAAUCCUGCUCCCGCCUGUUUUUAUUUCCUGCCCAGAGCAAGUACAGAACCGAGGGCCAUCGAUGGGCGAGAAAUCACUGUGCCUCCAAGCUGUAUUUUUCACCGUAACAAGUCAUUACUUCUGUGCCCGGAGUCAUUUCUCAGGAUCUUAAUGCAUUCGUUUAUCAAUCAAUACUUAACUGAUGUCUAUAAAGCAUGUUCAAAAUCAGAGGUGAGAGCAGCUCACCAGGUACCGACUUCGUGUCUGGAGCCACCUUGUUAAGGAGCAACCCUUGGCACGGGUCCCGUGUCUGCACCCUCGGGAGCUCUGGGUGGGUGCACUGGGGUCCUCACAGCCCUUCCCACCACCGCAGAUGGAAAUCUCUACCUGGCAGAGGGGCUCAGUCGUCCCCACCUGGGAGUCUGGGGCCUACCGGCAGCAGAAGGUGCAGUGGCCAAACACAGAGACAUUUCUAUCAUCAGACCUGGUCCCCAGCCUGACUCUGCUGCCCACUUACCCCUGGCCAGGGCGAGUUCAUCGACUGUGCCGAGCCUGGCUGCUUCUCCAGCCUAACAGGAGUCCCCGUCUCGACAGGACUGAGUGGGGUGAAUGCAGCCAAGUGCUCAGCAGAGACUGUCCCACCGGGAAGUGUUCACAAAUAUGGGCUGUUGAACCUGCUGUUGUUAGAUCUAGAUCCAGUUCUGCGACCACGUUCAUGACUUAGAUCAUAACUGAAGUGCGGGCCAGCCGAGGCCGGGCCGUUUAGGGGUUUGGCUGCUAAUUCAAGAAGGACACCUGGGUUUGGAUCCCAGAGUUCCCUCCAGACCCAGAUGUGGCCUCAGGCAGGUGAUGAGCCUGGAGAUGCGGUUUCAUUUUCUGCAGGGUGGUCAAAGGAGAUCUCAGGCUUGUAGGAGACAAAGCACAUCGCCCCGAACUGCUCAGGAGGCGCAGAUUACAGCCACCCUCCUUAUCCACCCCGUCUCCCAUCACAGCCCUCAUGAGUGCUCAAGCAAGGCUCAGGGCCUGAUGGACGUGGCUGCCUCCUCCUAGAGGACAGGCAUGUCUCGGCUGCCUGCACCAGCCAGCGGCCCUUCUCCCCGGCCAGGAGAUCCUCCAAGGAAGGCCAAGGGCCAAGCAGCUGCUGGAGCAGAUGACCACAAACUCAGUGACUGCAGAGUGCACGCGCUCAUCACCUUACAGUUGUGUAGGCUGGGAUCCCACUGGGCUAAGACCAAGGUGUUGGGAGGCUGCGUUUCUUGCUGGAUGCUGUAAGGGAGAAGUCGUUUCCUCGUGUUUUUUUAACUUCCUUGGCCCACGGACCUUCCUCCACCUUCAAAGCCAGCAGCCUCGCGUCUUCUGACCUUCCAUUGUCACAUCGUCAUCUGACCCACGUAAGGACCCGUGUGAUUAGGGUGGGCGCACCCGGGUAAUCUUCCCAUCUCAAAGUCCUUGACUGAAUCACAUCUGCAAAGUCCCCUUUGCUACGUAAGGUCACAUGUUCACAAGAUCCAGGGAUUAGGACUUGGACAUUUUUGGAAGCCCAUUGUCCUGCCAACAGCACAAGACCUCCAGGUGAUCCUGAUGUGUAACGCACAGUGAGAGACAAAUGCUCUGAUGGACCAUCAACAGCAGAACGUAAGCAGGGAGAGGGACCCCGCCUUCCUCCCCAAUCUGGCCCUGUGCCUAGCAAAUUAUAGAACUUUUGUAAGCAAAUGAGUUCAUUUGUGAAUAAAUGAACGACCGGUGAGACGAAGAGCUGGGCGUAGCAGCCACAGGUGGGGCUGCCAAAUAAAAUGCAAGAUGCGUGGUUAAAUCUGAAUUUCAGAUAAAUAACAAGUACUUAUGUUUUUGGGGGUUUUUUUGUUUUUUUGUUUUUUUUUUGAGAUGGAGUCUCGUUCUGUCGCCCAGGCUGGAGUGCAGUGGUGUGAUCUUGCCUCACUGCAAGCUCCACCUCCCGGGUUCAAGUGAUUCUCCUGCCUCAGCCUCCUGAGUAGCUGGGAUUACAGGCAUGUGCCACCAUGCCUGGCUAAUUUUUGUAUUUUUAAUAGAGACGGGGUUUCACCAUGUUGGUCAGGCUUGUCUUGAACUCUUGACCUCAGGUGAUCCACCCGCCUCGGCCUCCCAAAGUGCUGGGAUUACAGGCAUGAGCCACCACACCUGGUAACAAGUAGUUUUUUACUACCAGUGUGCCUCUAACAAUAUUUGAGAUAUACUAAAAAAAAAAGUUGUUUUUUAUCUGAAAUUCAAAUUUAGCUGAUAUCCUGUAUUUUUCUUUGUCAAAUGUGGCUUCUCUAAGCAUCAGUCCAGCCAUGGCCCAGGUGGUGAACCUGGAAAUUCAUUCCUCCCUCCAGAACUCUGUUUCCCUGCUCAGUGUUCUAGAAAGCAUCCCCUUCUCUGGCAAACCCUGUCCAAUCUCUCAGGGAAGAUGAGGCCUCCUUCCUCUUCCUGUCCUCCGUUAAUCGAUAUUCCCACCCCAACCCCUCCUAGAAUUUGGUGAUCUGGGGUCUGAAGUCUUCUACCAGGAGCUCAAGCUGAUGGGCUGAGAAGCCCAGUUCUGACGUGAAUUCUGCACCCCUCCUUCGGGAACAAGGAAGACCCAAGCUUGCUUAUCUCUAGAUCCUGCGGGGGGCUUUUGAGAAUCCCUAGUUUUGAGGCUGUGGGAUGGAGCUGCAUGGGAGAGCCAGGAGGAAGACCCUGGCACAGCACGCUCUGAGUAUGGGGUUGCUGCUGGCCCACCCUGUUCCCUCCACACUCUGGAGGAUGUGGAGUGGACGCCAUCAGGGUGCAGCCAUGCAGAACGGCUGGGUCUGUCCCUGUGUCCUCACGCACAGAGCUCUGGAAGGCAGGCAGACGUCCUCACACAUCUGUGAGCCAAAAGGCAAAAAACAAAAGAAGCAAACAAAAAAAUCCACUCCGAUGUUCUUAUGCUUAUGGGUUCUACAGACUUGCAUAUACAUAAUGUAAUGAAAAUUCUUGAUUUCAUCUUCAGAGACAUAAAUGGAAGAAAAUGUACAUAAAAGAGAGUCCACUUAAACAUGUGAUCCUCUCAAAGGAAGAAAAGAACAGGGCUCACUCAUCCACAUCAACCCGGUGAGGCCCGGACACCCCCCACCUCUUCUGCUUAGAGCCCUAUUAUCCUUUGAUCUCCCUAAUAAUGUGUUUCUUUCCUGGUAAUAGGUUUUCAUCAUCCUCACAGCCUAUUGAUUAGAACUCUUUUCCAGGGUUUUGAGAUAUUGGCUAAAAUAAGGGAUGAAAUGAUUCAGUCUUCAGGUGAUGUUUCAAAGGAGGCGUGUUCGUAAUGUCCUCCCGCGACGAGGGACCUGGCCAAGAGAAACUACGCAGGAGGCCCAGAAGGCAGAGCCUGCUCCAGGUCGGCCUCACUGCUGUCCCUUCUGACCUCUCGACAUUUUGGUUUUGGCAUGGUGAAUGGGGCUACCACAGUGGGCCAGCCAGCAUGACCCCCUGACCAGACCUGGAGGCAGGCAGAGGAAAGGAGAGGGCCAGGGAUGGGUGGGUGGCCGGGUGUGUGCCGUUUGCUGAAGUUGAGGCACUGUGGUUCCUGGAAUCCUCAGCCCAGGGACUUCUAAGACACAUCUCUAAGACACAAACAAGAUCUACACCUCUAAGAGGGAAGGAAUGACCGGCCCAUCGCAGGCUGUCUUCGACUGUUGGGGCUCCCAUGACAAAAUGCCAUAGACUUAGGGGCCGAUGAACAACAGCCAUUGGUUUCCCACAGUUCUGGAGGCUAGAAGUCCAAGAGCAAGGCUCCAGCAGAACGUCUGGUGAGGGCCGCUUCCUGAUUCAUAGACGGCACCUCUUUGCUGUGUCCCCGCCUGGUAGAGGGCUGAGGGAUCUCCCUCAGAACUCUUUUAAAAGGGCACUCUCCUCAUUCACCAGUGUUCCACCCUCAGGACCUAAUCACCUCCCAAGGGCCCCACCUUUUAAUACUAUUUAAUACCAUUGCAUUAAGGAUUAGGUUUCAACAUGUGAAACUGCAGGACACACACACUCAGCCCAUAGCAGAUGCCCUGAAGGGGCUGUGAAGUGUCGUGAGUAGAGCCCCAGGAAUGGAGGGUUCUGGAGGGGCACAUAGGUCCAACAGAGCGCAGGCAUAAGGUGGGAAGCCAGAGGGGGCUGUGUGGGCCGGACUGGGUCAAAUCAGGAGGCCUGGAGAUGCCUGGUGAGGAGCCCCGGUCCCACGAUGUAGGGGGCCUGUCGGCACAGGAGUGUAGGCCACGGGCUUGUGGGCAGCCUCCCUCAGGAGGGUGUGGGGCUGAUGAGCAGGUGUGGGCGCAGGUGCAUGCAUCAGGACGUGUCCCCUGCGGAAGCAGCUCCUGUAGGAUCACCUCCUCCACCAGCGACCAGGAAGGACAUUGCAUUUAGACUCUAGGUGAGUCCAGCUUCACUCAUCGCCAGCUGAGGCCUCAUUUUCUCAUCUCUAAGACAUAAACAACCACCCCCUCUUCCCAGGAACACACACACACACGCGCGCGCACACACGUGGUUCUGCGGCUCAUAACUAAAUGUAAUGAAAGGUAAACUAAAGUGCCCCUCCAUGGAAAUCGACCCCAAUUCAGCCUCUAAUCCUGAGAUGCAAGAUUCAGAACCAGUAUGUCAAGGAAAAGUGUUUCUCUGCAUUGAUCCUCGAGGAUACUAAAUGUAUAUUUUAAAAAAUAAAUUCUGUCCCAAGUGUUUGGUGAGACAGAGAGAGAAGCAGCCGCUUCUGAAGUGAGCACAAGGACGUGGCUUUUCUGGAGGCUUCCUCAUUGCAGGACCCAUCCAUCACCUUCAGGGGUUCGAUGAAACCGUUGCAAAUAUGAUCAAUCAUCUUUUUAUUGAAUUAAGACAAAUGGCUGGUUAUUAAUAGGCUAAGACUUAAUGAGGAAAAUGGAUAAUGCCGCACAGGGAAAAGGCAAAGAACUGUGCACACAGCCUCUGCACUUUUUCUAGAAAGAUCUGGAAGUGUCUUCAGUGAGAAAAGCCCCGGGCUGGAUGACCUCUUUGAUUCACACUAAGGACUCAAGGAAGCAAAAACUCCUAGGUUGACCCUUUCUCCACCACCUUCUAUCUGUGUGAUCUUCAGGCAGUGACUUGACCUCUCUGAACUUCUGUCUCUUCACAAAGGUGCUUGGCUUAUGAUGUUGUGCCUGGCAGACGCAGACUGAGAGAAGCAGAGUCCUGGCCUCCAAAAUCUGAGUUGUGUGUGGGACAGAAUGGUGUGCUUCACCUGCGGUUCUGAGGGGGCCGGCGGGAUCAGAUGCUGGCACAGGACAUGGGAAGGGGGUGCGUGUGGGGCAGAGCCGUGCAGCAGGUGCACAGCUGUGCAAGGUCCCCUGAUGGGCCCUCUCUGCUCCAUGUUUCCAGAAAUCCUUGGAAAGGAGCUCAAGUGGCACAGUAUCUGGAGCGUGUUGUGGACUUGGUUGGGAUGCCUGGUGUCUGUUUAUGGCAGCACUUCUGGGGAAACAGAUUGUGUUUAUGUCAGAAAGAAAAGACCAUGUUUCGGGGCAAUCCCUGCAGCUCGUUAGGUCAAAUCAACACCCCCAGCCCAUCUGCCUCCGCAGGGUGCCUCGGCCCCACUCAGUGCCGGCAGACAGGAGCCUCCCAGGGAGCAGCCGAGCUCCAGGGCGGGGGAGCCACCACCGAGCACAAUAGCCAAUCAGCCCCUUCCUAGAAGCAAGUCAGGCUGCCCGGCGUGCUUUCUGUCUGUCGUUCCUGCAGCCUCCACGGGCACCGGCCCAGGUGGUCCCUGGCUGGAUGGUCAGAACUCAGAGCUGUGAGCUGUGGCUGCUGAUUCCCUCCUGAACAACAGGGUCUAGGGAGACAGGCAGACACAGAAACCUCAAGUGAAGUGGGGGCUGCGGGCUGGGGGUGCUGCACGGGGCAGUCAGGGGCACAGCAAAGAGGACGUGACCUCAGGUCCUCGGCAGCAGGGAGGGAAGGCAUGGAGUACAUGCUUUCCUCUGGGAAACACUCAUAUCCGAUUCACAUGAUAUUGUCCGCAGUGCUGAGCCUGGCAGACCUACAUCUUCAUCUUUUUGGUGCGUUAAUGAGGAUUUUUAUUUCUUCUUUAAUGAUUAAUUCCUAAAAUUAUAAUACUUAUGUGAAUAGUACCAAUGCUUAAUAUUUUUGAUAAAAAUUUAAAAAUUGAGCUCCAAAAGGGAUUCACCAAUUAAUAUUUCCAUCAUCAUUAUGCAGAAGUUGCUAUUUACUCACAUCCUUAAUUAUAGAGGAAAGUAUCAAUGAAUGUUUACCAAUUUAAUGACUCAAAUAUUUUCAUAUCUAUAUUUCUCCAUUAUUAGUGACAUUGUGCACUUUUACUUAUGUGUAUUGACGAUUUGUACUUUUACUCUGUGAAUUUCUUUUUCUCUUCUUUUUUUCAACUUUUAUUUUAGAAUUGGAGAGUACAUGUGCAGGUUUGUUAUGAAGUUAUAUUGCGUGAUGCUGAGGUUUGGAGCAUGAGUGAAUCUGUUACCCAGGUACUGAGCAUAGUACCCAAUAGGUAGUUUUCUUUCUACCUUGCCCCCAGGAGUCCCCAGUAUCUAUUUUUCCCAUCUUUGUGUCCAUCUGUACCUAAUGUUUAUCUCCCACUUACAAGUGAGAAAACGUGGUAUUUGGUUUUCUGUUCCUGCAUUAAUUUGCUUAGGAUAAAAGUUUCUAGCUGCAUCCAUGUUGCUGUGAAGGACAUGGUUCCAUUCUUUUUCAUGGCUGUGUAGUAUUCCACGGUGUCUGUGGGUUUUUUUUAAAGGUUGUUUUUGAAGAAUACUUGACAACAUGGAGAAAUUCUCAAUGCGUGAAAAAAAAGUAAAAGGAAAGUAAAAGGGAACAGAAGUAUAUAUAAAGCAUGUUCCAAUAUUGUCCAAAAAUAUUAUUAUUGAUUAUCUGGGAGAAGUUUAUGGGUAUUUAUGCUUUUUUCCAUCUUUGAAAAAUACUCUGAGAAUAUGCAUUAGUUUUAUGAGGAAAGUGCAUGUUAUAAAGCCUAAAGAUGAAUUGUGUCUCCCCACAAAAGAUAGGUUGAGGGACUCAGCCUGUGGCCUGAUUUGGAAGCAGGGUCACUACAGAUGGAAUUAGUUGAGGUGAGGUCGUCCUGGAGUAGGUGAACUCCAAUCCAAGAUGACUCAUGUUUUUGCCAG